GUUUCAGCCGCCGCGGUAAUACGGAGGGUGCAAACGUUGCUCGGAAUCAUUGGGCGUAAAGCGCGUGUAGGCGGCUUGUUAAGUUGAGUGUGAAAGCCCUGGGCUUAACCCAGGAAGUGCGCUCAAAACUGGCGAGCUAGAGUACGGGAGAGGGUAGUGGAAUUCCCGGUGUAGAGGUGAAAUUCGUAGAUAUCGGGAGGAACACCAGUGGCGAAGGCGGCUACCUGGACCGAUACUGACGCUGAGACGCGAAAGCGUGGGUAGCAAACAGGAUUAGAAACCCCGGUAGUCC
Molecule: ribosomal RNA, 292 nt
Filed under: uncultured bacterium
Lineage: Bacteria
Description: partial 16S ribosomal RNA
Rfam family: Bacterial small subunit ribosomal RNA
Source: RNAcentral